AAUCAUUACGGGGUUUAGGUAUGGAAC
This 27-nucleotide small RNA is filed under the name Bombyx mori (domestic silkworm). RNAcentral describes it as "ovarian small RNA-10778". The record is from RNAcentral. Lineage: Eukaryota; Metazoa; Arthropoda; Insecta; Lepidoptera; Bombycidae.